RNAcentral lists this ribosomal RNA (490 nucleotides) under uncultured bacterium. RNAcentral describes it as "partial 16S ribosomal RNA". It matches the Rfam family "Bacterial small subunit ribosomal RNA", at positions 30 to 507 of the family's 1533-position model. The record is from RNAcentral.
AUUGAACGCUGGCGGCAGGCCUAACACAUGCCAGUCGAACGGUAACAGGAAGAAGCUUGCUUCUUUGCUGACGAGUGGCGGACGGGUGAGUAAUGUCUGGGAAACUGCCUGAUGGAGGGGGAUAACUACUGGAAACGGUAGCUAAUACCGCAUAACGUCGCAAGACCAAAAAGGGGGACCUUCGGGCCUCUUGCCAUCGGAUGUGCCCAGAUGGGAUUAGCUAGUAGGUGGGGUAACGGCUCACCUAGGCGACGAUCCCUAGCUGGUCUGAGAGGAUGACCAGCCACACUGGAACUGAGACACGGUUCAGACUCCUACGGGAGGCAGCAGUGGGGAAUAUUGCACAAUGGGCGCAAGCCUGAUGCAGCCAUGCCGCGUGUAUGAAGAAGGCCUUCGGGUUGUAAAGUACUUUCAGCGGGGAGGAAGGGAGUAAAGUUAAUACCUUUGCUCAUUGACGUUACCCGCAGAAGAAGCACCGGCUAACUCCGUG